UUUGAAGAAACCAGAUUUAUUGAAGGGCUGCUGGGUCCUUCAAAAAUGCCUUUACCUCAGACGUAGACAAAGUUCAAUGAAUUCUCUGAGUACAAAUCAGAGUAAGAAGGUAAAGUUGAGUCCGAAAGUGGGUUCAUGGGACUACGGGUUCAGCUGUAUCUAACAGAAACCUACAGUAUCAAUGACUGAAACAAUAUCAAAGUUUAUUUCUCUUACCUAACAGUUUGAAGGUCUGCUGCCUAGGAUUAGUGAGGUGAUUCCACGGUGUCAUGGACCCAGGCCCCUCUCGUCUUACUGCUUCAUCAUCUUCAGCAGGUGGGCCCUCACCCGCGGGGUCCAGAUGGCUCCCAGCAGCCACCAUCCUCAGGCCAAGCAGGAGAGAACCCUUUAAGAAUGGAUACUUCUACAACAGAAAAAAACGAUGGUGAAAGGAUGAUGAUAUCUGGUAGGGAUUUAUAGUUUUGAAGUACUUUCCUUGGCUUAUCAAACAUGACUGUUACAAAAGCCCAGUGGGAAUGGCCGCCCAAAUAUUACUCUGCCUCUUGUAAGAAUGGAGAAACUGAGACCCAAAGAGACCAAGUGACUUGCUCAAGGUCACCCAUGGAGGAACCAGCUGAGCCGGAGCCACCCCACAGAGGAGGCGGCACCCACUAGCUGGUCUCCGCAGAGCAGGUGCGCGCUCCAGCCCCGAGGGGCCCGCCGCGCUCCCACAUUACCCUACAGCAGCCUUAACUUAACAAUAUGUGUUUCCCCCAAUUGUAAUUAUGUCCUUGUUCGCAGCAAAGAGGAUCUGAGCCACUUCCCCCAGCAGGGGAAGCGGCAGGUGCGGGCAGUGGGGUUGGCCAGGGCCCCGCACACUGGUGUCCAGGCUUUGGGGACACAGACCGGCUCUCAGGCUCGGGCUCGGGCUGCCCGCGGAGUGUUCGCCCUGUCAGGUGCGGCUGGGCUUUCUCGGUGGUCCGGGGCAGCGACAGGAACUGGCCCCAAGCCUCCACUUACUGCAGGUGCACGUUUGACAAUGAGAAGCCCAUCUCCGCAAGCACAGCAUGCAUUAGCAUCCUCUCCUUCGGAGAGAGCUAUUUUUGUCUUUCAUCUUCAGCAACUGUGUUCCACAAUAAAGGAGAUAAGUCUCAGAAGGAGAAUCAGUGACAACCAGUGUCUCCAGCUCAGAAGAGCAAGUCACUAUUUACUCAAUAACAAGGACAGCAACCAUCGCCCUGGGGGCACUGGAGUGGGCGACCCGCUGCCCUUGGGGACAGCGCCUCGUCCUGCACCCGCCUCAUCUCUCUGUGUGAUUCCUCUCCACACACUUCGCUGAACCGGGAUUGGUGGGGGUUACUGAGAGUCACGUCCAGGACUUCCAUUCGACUCUAGAAGGGGGAUGGUGGACAUAAAGCUAUCAGCACAUCAAGUCUGCACCGCCCAAACUCUCCUACGACCCAGAUAGGAGAGUGCAACCCACAGCUAGGGGAGAGGGGAGCCACGCCAAGAGAGGACCAGGUCCUGGCGGCACCGAUUUAGCUCCCGUAUCAAGCUGCAUCUCAACACAGCGUGACUUGUGAUGAGGAGUCAUCUUGAACCAGAUGGAUGAGGUCAAUCUCCUAGAACGAGUGGAUCAACUAGGUGGAAAGAGCCUGGGAUGGGUGACUGCCUGGAGCAGAGCCACAGUACCUGGCUGGAUGUUUGUGGGAAAGAGAAAUCAGUUUCCAUCUUGUUCUCUGGACACCUUGUGUUCCGGCAGCAAGCACACCAUCUGGUUGGCCAAGGACCUUCUUAAAAUGAGGCUCCUGAAACUGAACGUGGAACUUCAAGCAAGCUCUGGCAGAGCUGGGACCGUGCCCGAGACCCGCAGACCCAACACAGCCUUACAACGAGGUCAUAAAUUAGCAGCAGAGGCAAGAGUGGAGGCAAGUCUCCUGCCCCACGAGGACAACCAGAGUCACCUGCAGCAUCCUGUGGUCUAGCAGGUGCGAAUGGUCAGAAUCACCGUGCCCACUGAAAACGUGCUCUGCUCCUUUGCAAGGCUUCACCACCCCAGCUGAGAACCGCAGAUCCAAACAAACCCUGAUGCUCCCAUCCCUCUUUCCUGGGAUGAAGCUCAAGAGGAAUCCUACAGGAGGUCUUUAGCACAAGGUGUUUCUACCCGAUAAAAAGAGACACCAGGGCAUCAACAGUAGAUCUCUCUGCCUGGGAUCACCCUAUGAAGACAUGCUGUCUGGGGGACUGCAACCACAGGCUAGUUUGAGGAGAGCCGGCCUGAGGAAGAGGCCAGUGCACAGAGCAGAGCAGAAAGGUGGAGUGAAGUGAGGUACCCGAUGACGAUGACCUAACAUGAGCCCCAGAAUGCCAAGCCCGGAACUGCUCUGGCUCCAUUCCUUUGAUAUGGUAAGUAAUUGUGCAAGCCACUGCAGCUGGGGUUUUCGGUUAGGACAACCAAAAGCUCCUUCCUGAUAAAAGUGUGCAUAUUCUUGCGGUGCCGGGGUGGCUCAGAUGGUUAAGCCUCUGCCUUCAGCUCAGGUCAUGAUCUCCAGGUCCUGGGAUCAAGCCCCAUGUGCCCCACGAGCCCAAUAGGGCUCCGGCUCAGUGGAGAGUCUGCUUCUCUCUCUGCCCCUUCCCCCUGCUCGAGCUCUCUCUCUCUCUCUAUCUGUCUCUCAAAUAAAUAAAUAAAUCUUUUUAAAAAAGUAUUCAUAUUCUGGUUGUUUGGAGACCCCGUUUCUGGGCUUUGUGCAGAGAAUGUGCCUCCUUUCUUGGCCUUACCUUGAAGUGUGGUGGUUAAGGAAGUUUCUGGGUUCACAUUCCAGCUCUCCUUUUAUAGGCUGGGAAAAUUUAGGCAAGUCUCUUUUCCUUCUCUGUAAAAUAGGGACAAUCAUGGUUUUUCUAACUCUGGGAACUUAGGGAUUAAAUUAAAUGAGUUAACAGAAGAAAAGCAUUUCAAACUGCCUAGUAUGUCACUGAUGCUGAAUAGGUAUUAACUAUGAUUGGUCUUUUUAGUUUUUUGCUUAGAUCUCUUUUGGCCAGAAAUUCAAUUCCAACUAAAUUAAGCUAAAAAAGAAAAGUUAUCGACAGUGGAAGGCACGAAAUGGGUUACAGACUCAGGAAGUGCUGUUGAAUCAAGGCCUCACGGAUGAGAUGCGGUGCUUCUAGAUAGUCUUUGGCUGCCCCUAAGUAUCACCUGGAGGGUUUUUAAAAGUCUCGAGGCCCAGGCUAUACCCAGACCAAUUCAAUACAGAUUCCUGGGGCUGGCCCCAGACCUCAGCAGGUGUCAAGCUCCUCAGGUGAUUCCAGUGUG
This is a long non-coding RNA of Mirounga angustirostris (Northern elephant seal), 3289 nucleotides long. RefSeq lists it as uncharacterized. The record is from RefSeq and is a predicted model, not a curated record. The transcript is spliced from 5 exons. Lineage: Eukaryota; Metazoa; Chordata; Mammalia; Carnivora; Phocidae.